GGAGGAAAAGAAACCAACAGGGAUUGCCUCAGUAGCGGCGAGUGAAGCGGCAAAAGCUCAAAUUUGAAAUCUGGCGUCUUUGGCGUCCGAGUUGUAAUUUGAAGAAGGUAUCUUUGGGCCCGGCUCUUGUCUAUGUUCCUUGGAACAGGACGUCACAGAGGGUGAGAAUCCCGUGCGAUGAGAUGACCCGGGUCUGUGUAAAGUUCCUUCGACGAGUCGAGUUGUUUGGGAAUGCAGCUCUAAGUGGGUGGUAAAUUCCAUCUAAAGCUAAAUAUUGGCGAGAGACCGAUAGCGAACAAGUACAGUGAUGGAAAGAUGAAAAGAACUUUGAAAAGAGAGUGAAAAAGUACGUGAAAUUGUUGAAAGGGAAGGGCUUGAGAUCAGACUUGGUAUUUUGCAUGCUGCUCUCUCGGGGGCGGCCGCUGCGGUUUACCGGGCCAGCAUCGGUUUGGAGCGGCAGGAUAAUGGCGGAGGAAUGUGGCACGGCUUCUGCUGUGUGUUAUAGCCUCUGACGAUACUGCCAGCCUAGACCGAGGACUGCGGUUUUUAAC
Molecule: ribosomal RNA, 551 nt
Filed under: Candida albicans
Lineage: Eukaryota; Fungi; Ascomycota; Pichiomycetes; Serinales; Debaryomycetaceae
Description: partial large subunit ribosomal RNA
Rfam family: Eukaryotic large subunit ribosomal RNA
Source: RNAcentral